RNAcentral lists this transfer RNA (77 nucleotides) under Bacillota bacterium. Its description in RNAcentral is "tRNA-Arg". It matches the Rfam family "tRNA". Rfam says of the family: Transfer RNA (tRNA) molecules are approximately 80 nucleotides in length. Their secondary structure includes four short double-helical elements and three loops (D, anti-codon, and T loops). The record is from RNAcentral. Lineage: Bacteria; Bacillati; Bacillota.
GUGCCUGUAGCUCAAUUGGAUAGAGCGUCUGACUACGGAUCAGAAGGUUUGGGGUUCGACUCCCUACAGGCACGCCA